GACGAACGCUGGCGGCGUGCUUAACACAUGCAAGUCGAACGCUGAAGCUUGGUGCUUGCCCUGGGUGGAUGAGUGGCGAACGGGUGAGUAAUACGUGAGUAACCUGCCCUUGACUCUGGGAUAAGCCUGGGAAACUGGGUCUAAUACUGGAUACGACAUGUCACCGCAUGGUGGUGUGUGGAAAGGGUUUUACUGGUUUUGGACGGGCUCACGGCCUAUCAGCUUGUUGGUGGGGUAAUGGCUCACCAAGGCGACGACGGGUAGCCGGCCUGAGAGGGUGACCGGCCACACUGGGACUGAGACACGGCCCAGACUCCUACGGGAGGCAGCAGUGGGGAAUAUUGCACAAUGGGCGGAAGCCUGAUGCAGCGACGCCGCGUGAGGGAUGACGGCCUUCGGGUUGUAAACCUCUUUCAGCACGGAAGAAGCGAAAGUGACGGUACGUGCAGAAGAAGCGCCGGCUAACUACGUG
This 472-nucleotide ribosomal RNA is filed under the name uncultured bacterium. Its description in RNAcentral is "partial 16S ribosomal RNA". It matches the Rfam family "Bacterial small subunit ribosomal RNA", at positions 28 to 507 of the family's 1533-position model. The record is from RNAcentral.